Molecule: ribosomal RNA, 253 nt
Filed under: uncultured bacterium
Lineage: Bacteria
Description: partial 16S ribosomal RNA
Rfam family: Bacterial small subunit ribosomal RNA
Source: RNAcentral
UACGUAGGGUGCGAGCGUUAAUCGGAAUCACUGGGCGUAAAGCGCACGUAGGCGGAUUGCUAAGUCAGGGGUGAAAUCCUGGAGCUCAACUCCAGAACUGCCUUUGAUACUGGCGAUCUUGAGUCCGGGAGAGGUGAGUGGAACUGCGAGUGUAGAGGUGAAAUGCGUAGAUAUCGUGAGGAAGACCAGUGGCGAAGGCGGGUCUCUGGACAGUUCCUGACACUGAGGCACGAAGGCCAGGGGAGCAAACGGG